CAAGUUAAAGCUAAAUUAGUAAAGCCUUUUAUUUACAUUAAAAAGUAGUCGUGCGAUUCGAUAUAAUUUGA
Molecule: transfer RNA, 71 nt
Filed under: Hygrotus inaequalis
Lineage: Eukaryota; Metazoa; Arthropoda; Insecta; Coleoptera; Dytiscidae
Description: tRNA-Val
Source: RNAcentral